GCUUACGUCCAACUGAUAUCUGCAUCCAAUGAUUUGCCAAAAUCAAAACCAAAGGAUUAAUAAAGUUUACUGACUACCUUAGUUGGUAAGCUUUCUUAGGUUAUUUAAUUUAUACACCAUACAAUUGUGGCUACAUAAUUGACAUCAGAAUGACCUGUUACUAGCAUGUCCUAAAAUAGUUAAAACUUUAAACCAAGAUAUGUAUUUAUAAUGUGGUAUUGCAGAUGCUACAUCAAGUGCAGUGAAUAAUUUUAAUUUCAUUUAGGCAACCAAAUGCUCACUGAAUGAUACAGAAUAGGAAACCAGCCAUUAAAUUUUUACAUAUUUCAAAUAUUAACCAUUUACAGAAAAAUUCAUAAGCCUUGGAGUUGUUAGAGGUAGAACCAACUCCAGGCUAAUGAAAUGUGAAAACUCAAGACAGGUGGAUAAGGAUGGAAUAAAGUGGUGUUUUUUGGUCUUUCGAUAUGUUCUCUUAUUUGCUUCUAGCCAAGUAGGAUUGGUGCAUUGUAAACAAAUUUGUGAAUAAUAGAUGGAGAGGUGCAGUCGCACACUGAACAACACCAGGGAUAUUUAAAAGGUAUGCACUUAGGACAUAGAGACCAGGAACCUUGCAAUUUCAUCCAGAAAGAAUUAAGUUAAUAAAUCCAGAUGAACAAGAGAGACGCUCAGUAAGUUGAACUCGAAAGAAGAACAAUGAGUACAGCACUGCUUUUUGCAAAAAUGUGGUAGCUAAGAAAGGAAUUCUUUUCCUCAUAUCCUACGACUGAGCAAUGGACCUUUCAUCCAGCUAACCAACAUGAUAUAAAUAAUUGUGCUAACUUUUGCUUGCAUACCUGCUCCUGGCUUACAUA
RNAcentral lists this unclassified non-coding RNA (851 nucleotides) under Hevea brasiliensis (rubber tree). Lineage: Eukaryota; Viridiplantae; Streptophyta; Magnoliopsida; Malpighiales; Euphorbiaceae. The record is from RNAcentral.